This 393-nucleotide unclassified non-coding RNA is filed under the name rhizosphere metagenome. RNAcentral describes it as "partial ribosomal RNA internal transcribed spacer region". The record is from RNAcentral.
GUAGGUGAACCUGCGGAAGGAUCAUUAACACGUUACUUAAAAACAACGUAUUAAACCAAACGUGAAAUUAGUGUCUGCCCUGUAGGGAAGUGGGAAGUGAAACUUGAAGAAUGGUGUGCGAGGUGUUAAAACCGAGCUGGCUCUUGUUUCUAGUAGUGCAAGCAUGGCAACAUGUUUGAAGCUGCAGCUUUCUCUCUUUACAGUUGAUAUAGUAUCGAUCGCUUAUUCAGCCUACACCUUGGCUGGCUUUAGGUACGCCCAUAUUCUUAACCCCUUUAUUUUAACCACUGAUUUGUACGUUUCUAUGCAUUCCUGUCUUCGGACGGUUGAGUUCAUUUAAAUGUCGUAUAUACUAAUACGAAACAACUCUUAGCAACGGAUAUCUUGGUUCUC